GACGAACGCUGGCGGCGUGCUUAACACAUGCAAGUCGAACGGAAAGGCCCUGCUUUCGUGGGGUGCUCGAGUGGCGAACGGGUGAGUAACACGUGAGUAACCUGCCCUUGACUUUGGGAUAACUUCAGGAAACUGGGGCUAAUACCGGAUAGGAGCUCCUGCUGCAUGGUGGGGGUUGGAAAGUUUCGGCGGUUGGGGAGGGACUCGCGGCUUAUCAGCUUGUUGGUGGGGUAGUGGCUUACCAGGGCUUUGACGGGUAGCCGGCCUGAGAGGGGGACCGGCAACAUUGGGCCUGAGUUAGGGCCCAGACUCCUCGGGGAGGCAGAAGUGGGGAAUAUGGCCCAAGGGGCGGAAGCCGGAUGAAGCACCGCCGCGUGCGGGAUGACGGCCUUGGGGUGUUAAACCGCUUUCGCCUGUGCCGAAGCGUGAGUGACGGUAAUGGGUAAAGAAGCACCGGCUAACUACGUG
RNAcentral lists this ribosomal RNA (468 nucleotides) under uncultured bacterium. RNAcentral's name for it is "partial 16S ribosomal RNA". It matches the Rfam family "Bacterial small subunit ribosomal RNA", at positions 28 to 507 of the family's 1533-position model. The record is from RNAcentral.